UCCUGACCGUGCAAAGGUAGCAUAAUCACUUGCCUAUUAAUUGUAGGCUAGAAUGAAAGGACAAACGAGAAUACACCUGUCUCCUUUAAGCCCUUAAAAAUUUAUCUUUAAGUGAAGAAGCUUAAAUUCAUAUGCAGGACAAGAAGACCCUAUAGAGCUUUACCUAAAAUCUACAUAAACAGUAGCUAGCGGUUCGGUUGGGGCGACCGGGGGACAUUCAUCACCCCCAAACUAAAAGAUAUACCUAUCCCACCAAAGAUCCUUACUCAAGAUCAAAGAAUCAAGCUACCUUAGGGAUAACAGGCUAAUCCUCUUAGAGAGCCCUUAUCGACAAGAGGGGUUGGCACCUCGAUGUUGGCUUAGGACUUCUCC
RNAcentral lists this ribosomal RNA (372 nucleotides) under Tubifex tubifex (sludge worm). Its description in RNAcentral is "partial 16S Ribosomal RNA". It matches the Rfam family "Bacterial large subunit ribosomal RNA", at positions 1940 to 2549 of the family's 2925-position model. Lineage: Eukaryota; Metazoa; Annelida; Clitellata; Tubificida; Naididae. The record is from RNAcentral.